RNAcentral lists this ribosomal RNA (229 nucleotides) under uncultured bacterium. RNAcentral describes it as "partial 16S ribosomal RNA". It matches the Rfam family "Bacterial small subunit ribosomal RNA", at positions 568 to 796 of the family's 1533-position model. The record is from RNAcentral.
UCCGUAGGCGGACUAUUAAGUCAGGGGUGAAAGUCUGCAGCUCAACUGUAGAAUUGCCUUUGAUACUGGUAGUCUUGAGUUAUGGUGAAGUGGCUAGAAUAUGUAGUGUAGCGGUGAAAUGCAUAGAUAUUACAUAGAAUACCGAUUGCGAAGGCAGGUCACUAACCAUACACUGACGCUGAUGGACGAAAGCGUGGGGAGCGAACAGGAUUAGAUACCCUGGUAGUCC